RNAcentral lists this long non-coding RNA (411 nucleotides) under Nicotiana benthamiana. Its description in RNAcentral is "long non-coding RNA (NBEN_LNC002734)". Lineage: Eukaryota; Viridiplantae; Streptophyta; Magnoliopsida; Solanales; Solanaceae. The record is from RNAcentral.
UUUCGUUCCUCUAUUUUUGACUUGCUCAACAAGUAAAUACCUCUAUUGUACUAAUAUUUACGCUAAAGUACCCUUCUAGUUGGCCCUAGGAUGCUCUUCUACCCCUCAAAUACCUAUACUGCCCUUACCCCUACUUUGAAAUUACUAUUCCUAAAGAUACUAUCCUUUUCUAUGCCUAAAAUUCCCUUCCAAUAAUCUGAAAUUUACAGACUAAGGUUAACUGAUCUCAAUCCCCUCACCCUAGCUAGAAUUUAACUAAAGAUAAUUAACAAAUGAUCUACUUAGCUACAUCACACCCAAAUCCUAAAGACUCUAAUACAGCAUCCACUACACUGAACCACUAAUUAAGCUAAUUAAAUCCUACAACUAAUUUACCUAAUUAAUCACAAAAUUAAAAUAAGAGGAAGACCA